CCUAGGGAACUGAAACAUCUAAGUACCUAGAGGAAGAGAAAGAAAAAUCGAUUUUCUUAGUAGCGGCGAGCGAAAAGGAAAGAGCCCAAACCAAAGAUUUAUCUUUGGGGUUGCGGACAGAACAUUAACUUAGGAAGCUAUUGUAACCGAAGAUAACUGGAAAGUUAAACCGUAGAGUGUAAUAGUCACGUAGGUGAAACGAGAAAGCCUAAAGUUCUGAUCCAGAGUACCACGAGACACGUGAAACCUUGUGGGAAGCAGGGAGGACCACCUCCCAAGGCUAAAUACUAC
Molecule: ribosomal RNA, 291 nt
Filed under: Clostridium baratii
Lineage: Bacteria; Bacillati; Bacillota; Clostridia; Eubacteriales; Clostridiaceae
Description: partial 23S ribosomal RNA
Rfam family: Bacterial large subunit ribosomal RNA
Source: RNAcentral